RNAcentral lists this ribosomal RNA (468 nucleotides) under uncultured bacterium. Its description in RNAcentral is "partial 16S ribosomal RNA". It matches the Rfam family "Bacterial small subunit ribosomal RNA", at positions 28 to 507 of the family's 1533-position model. The record is from RNAcentral.
GACGAACGCUGGCGGCGUGCUUAACACAUGCAAGUCGAACGGAAAGGCCCUGCUUUUGUGGUGUGCUCGAGUGGCGAACGGGUGCGUAACAGGUGAGUAACCUGCCCUUGACUUUGGGAUAACUUCAGGAAGCUGGGGCUAAUACCGGAUAGGAUCUCCUGCUGCAUGGUGGGGGGUGGAAAGUUUCGGCUGUUGGGGAUGGACUCGCGGCUUAUCAGCUUGUUGGUGGGGUAGUGGCUUACCAAGGCUUUGACGGGUAGCCGGCAUGAGAGGGUGGCCGGCCACCAUGGGACUGCGAGACGGACCAGACUCCUACGGGGGGCAGCAGUGGGAAAUAUUGCACAAUGGGCGGACGCCUGAUGCAGCAACGCCGCGUGCGGGAUGACGGCCUUCGGGUUGUAAACCGCUUUCGCCUGUGACGAAGCGUGAGUGACGGUAAUGAGUAAAGAAGCACCGGCUAACUACGUG